AUGCUAAGGCCGCCGCCGGCGCCACUGCUCCCUCCAGCUUCCCGCGCUUCCCUCCUUCCUCCCCACAAAGCCGCAAACCCCAACGCCGAAACCACUCCCGCGACCUCCACGACCGCCAGAGCCACACCCAUGGGCGUGGCCGCGUCCUGGCCGCGCGCGCUGGGUCAGCGCUUCAACCCGGGAGGCGUGGCCGCGGUGGUCGCCGUCGCGGCGUCCGAGCCGCGUCUAGCGCUGCCGCACGUCUCAGUGCAGGACAUCCGGUGGCUGGACUGGGCGGAGCUCCGCCGCGCCGGGUUCCGCGGCGUGGUUUUCGACAAGGACAACACCCUCACCGCGCCCUACGCUCCCGAGCUCUGGCCGCUGCUGACCACCUCUUUUGACCAGUGCCGCGCGGCCUUCCCCGGCGCCAUCGCUGUCUACAGCAACUCCGCAGGGUUGAAGCAGUAUGAUCCAGAUGGGUCGGAUGCCAGUACGAUUGAGGCGACUAUCGACGGGGUUCAUGUGAUUAGGCAUGAUGCAAAGAAGCCUGCUGGAGCAGCUAAGGAAAUAGAGAGUUAUUUUGACUGCUCGGCUUCAGAUCUUGUGCUGGUUGGUGAUAGAUACUUUACUGAUGUUAUCUAUGGAAAUAGGAAUGGUUUUCUUACUGUCUUCACAGAACCAUUGAGUUUUGUUGGUGAAUCGUACAUUGUCAGAAAGGUUAGAAAGCUGGAAGCGUACAUUAUCAAUUAUUGGUACAAGAAAGGACACAGACCAAUUAAGCACCCUUUGCUCCCUGAUGCGAGAACGAUUGUGAAGUUUGAUCCAUGUGAAGACCCAGUCUCACCUAGAGCAUAG
RNAcentral lists this ribosomal RNA (834 nucleotides) under Triticum aestivum (bread wheat). RNAcentral's name for it is "partial small subunit ribosomal RNA". The record is from RNAcentral. Lineage: Eukaryota; Viridiplantae; Streptophyta; Magnoliopsida; Poales; Poaceae.